AAUAUUGCGCAAUGGAGGGAACUCUGACGCAGCGACGCCGCGUGAGCGAUGAAGGUCUUCGGAUCGUAAAGCUCUGUCCUUGGGGAAGAAGGUCUUCGGACUUGACGGUACCUAAGGUGGAAGCGCCGGCUAACUACGUGCCAGCAGCCGCGGUAAUACGUAGGGGGCAAGCGUUGUCCGGAAUUAUUGGGCGUAAAGGGUGCGUAGGCGGCCUUUUAAGUCAGAUGUGAAAGCCCGCGGCUUAACCGUGGGACUGCAUUUGAAACUGUGUAGCUUGAGUGCAGGAGAGGAAAGUGGAAUUCCUAGUGUAGCGGUGAAAUGCGUAGAGAUUAGGAGGAACACCAGUGGCGAAGGCGACUACCUGGACUGAUACUGACACUGAGGUGCGAAAGCGUGGGGAGCAAACA
This 407-nucleotide ribosomal RNA is filed under the name uncultured bacterium. RNAcentral describes it as "partial 16S ribosomal RNA". It matches the Rfam family "Bacterial small subunit ribosomal RNA", at positions 360 to 774 of the family's 1533-position model. The record is from RNAcentral.